GAUGAACGCUGGCGGCGUGCCUAACACAUGCAAGUCGAACGGACGAGAAGAGCUUGCUCUUCGAGUUAGUGGCGGACGGGUGAGUAACGCGUGAGCAAUCUGCCUUUCAGAGGGGGAUAACAUUGGGAAACCGGUGCUAAUACCGCAUGAUGUGCGAGGGUCGCAUGACUCUUGUACCAAAGGAGCAAUCCGCUGAAAGAUGAGCUCGCGUCUGAUUAGCUAGUUGGUGAGGUAACGGCCCACCAAGGCGACGAUCAGUAGCCGGACUGAGAGGUUGAACGGCCACAUUGGAACUGAGAUACGGUCCAG
This 309-nucleotide ribosomal RNA is filed under the name uncultured bacterium. RNAcentral's name for it is "bacterial SSU rRNA". It matches the Rfam family "Bacterial small subunit ribosomal RNA", at positions 28 to 334 of the family's 1533-position model. The record is from RNAcentral.